AUGGCAGUGAUGAUUGGCGCAGGGGUACGGACCUCAGCUAGAUCAUGGGAGCUGAGUGCAGACUUCGUUUCAGUGCAGCUGGCGUGUGGCUGGCUCGCUGGAAACAGGUUUGCACGAGACUUCGCCACAAACUGAGCCAU
This 140-nucleotide small nucleolar RNA is filed under the name Buceros rhinoceros silvestris. RNAcentral's name for it is "Small nucleolar RNA SNORD94". It matches the Rfam family "Small nucleolar RNA SNORD94". From Rfam's summary of the family: The members of this family belong to the C/D class of snoRNAs which contain the C (UGAUGA) and D (CUGA) box motifs. Most of the members of the box C/D family function in directing site-specific 2'-O-methylation of substrate RNAs. The record is from Rfam by way of RNAcentral. Lineage: Eukaryota; Metazoa; Chordata; Aves; Bucerotiformes; Bucerotidae.